This 1467-nucleotide ribosomal RNA is filed under the name Triticum aestivum (bread wheat). RNAcentral describes it as "partial small subunit ribosomal RNA". Lineage: Eukaryota; Viridiplantae; Streptophyta; Magnoliopsida; Poales; Poaceae. The record is from RNAcentral.
AUGCCGCCGCCCCCCGCCGGCCGGCCCGGAUUGGCACCGCCCCGGCCGGUGCCCACCGCGCAGGCGGCGAAGCCGGCGAAGGGACGAGGAGGCAGUGUCAAACGGCCGGCCAACCGCAGCCGCAACCCGGCCGACAGUUCUACGCGGCCGGUGAAGGUCUCAAAGGCGGCCGCGGCGGCUCGGGGCAACACAUCCAUUCCUCCACCUCCCCCGCCGCCACCGCUGGCCGUGGAGGAAGAUGUGGCCACGCCGACGGCCACCGCCUCCAACAUGUUCGAUGAAAUGUGCAAAGCUUUCAUGCACGCAACAAAUGUGGCAAAUGAUGAUUACAUAUAUGAGUCACAAGAAUAUGAAACCCAAUAUGAUGAUGACAAUCUUGAUGUGGAUGAUGAGGGCUUCAUUGUCAAGGGAAGAAGUGGAAAUUAUAGCACCGCGGAGGAUGUGUUGAUAUGCACCGCUUGGAAGAAAAUCUCUCAAGAUGCAAGCGUUGGAAGCGACCAAACGAAAAUGAUUGCACAAGGAUUGUUUCGGGAGAGGAACAUGAAAGGCGAGAAGAAGAAAAGGAAAGGCAAAGCUUUGACUUUUCAUCAUUGCUACAAAGAGCUCAAGGAUGUGGAGAAGUGGAAAACUAGAGAGACUUUUGAAUUGUCGAAGAAGAAGAGUGUGUUGGUUGAGGAUGAAGAAGAUGUCGCCAUUGAGGAGACGAGCCCCACUCCUCACUCCAUGACAAAAUCUUAUAGGCCCGAUGGAAACAAGAAAGCGAAGGGAACCAAGGCCGGAGACAAUGAUCUCAAGGAAGGAUUUGAUGCCAUUGUCAUGGCAAGGAAAGACGCGGCGGCCGAGGAGAGGUUGGCCGCGGCCGAGGAGAGGAAGGUGGACCUAGAGGAGCAGAAGGUCGCGGCCGACGAGAGGAAGAUGGUAGAAGAGAGGACACUCAAGUUUAUGUUUAUGGACACAUCAACUCUUGAUGCCAAGGCAAAGGCAUAUGUUGAACUUUGUCGCGAUGAAAUGCUCAUGAAGAAGCAAAUGCUCAUGAGGCAAAUGAUGAUGGGAGGAGGCAUGGGAGGAGGCAUGGGAGAUGCCAUGGGUGGUGCCAUGGGUGGUGCCAUGGGUGGUUACAUGAACAUGAUUGGAGGUGCCAUGAGUGGUGCAUUUGGCGGAAACAUGGGAGGUGGCUUCGGUGGCAACAUGGAAGGUGGCUUUGGCGGCAAGGGAGGUGGCUUUGGCGGCAUGGGAGAUGCUUUUGGCGGCAACAUGAUCGGUGGCUUGGGAGGUGGCUAUGGCGACAACAUGAGUGGCGUUGGAGGUGGAUAUGGCGGCAACAUGGGACGCAAUGAAGAUGGUUCCGGUGGUGCUCACGGCAACGAGAGUUCACCGCUUGUUGAGAACGUCGACAAAGACGGUGGUAGAGAUGAUGAUCGUACCACGGUUCACAACACCGGUGGUGUUGAUGACCCGAAUGAGUGA